GAUGAACGCUAGCGGCAGGCCUAGCAAAUGCAAGUCGAGGGGUAGAAGUUGCUUGCAACUUUGAGACCGGCGCACGGGUGCGUAACGCGUAUGCAAUCUGCCUUGUACUGAGGGAUAGCCCAGAGGAAUUUGGAUUAAUACCUCAUAGCAUUAUGAUGUGGCAUCACAUUAUAAUUAAAGUUCCAACGGUACAAGAUGAGCAUGCGUCCCAUUAGUUAGUUGGUAAGGUAACGGCUUACCAAGACGAUGAUGGGUAGGGGUCCUGAGAGGGAGAUCCCCCACACUGGUACUGAGACACGGACCAGACUCCGACGGGAGGCAGCAGUGAGGAAUAUUGGUCAAUGGGCGCAAGCCUGAACCAGCCAUGCCGCGUGCAGGAUGACGCAUCUAUGGUGUGUAAACUGCUUUUGUACAGGAAGAAACACUCCCUCGUGAGGGAGCUUGACGGUACUGUAAGAAUAAGGAUCGGCUAACUCCGUGCCAGCAGCCGCGGUAA
RNAcentral lists this ribosomal RNA (496 nucleotides) under uncultured bacterium. RNAcentral describes it as "partial 16S ribosomal RNA". It matches the Rfam family "Bacterial small subunit ribosomal RNA", at positions 28 to 523 of the family's 1533-position model. The record is from RNAcentral.